GUGAAGAACACAAGGAGGUAGGAAGAUCUGUAGUCUCAGCUGACUUAGAACAAACUUGUGACUGAGGCGGAGCCUUUGGUGAUGUUUCUCAGGCCUCCUGUGUCACAACCCUCCCGACUUACCUUUGAGAGAACUAACACAAGCAUACAUCUCAAUUAUAUUAAAAGAGCCCUUUGUCUUCCUUAUUGAGUGGGAUUGCAAUCCUUCUAGAAGGUCCAGAGCAAACUUGAUCCUUCUUGAUCCUUCCAGGUGGGAAGCUUAGCGGGUAGCUGGAUCCUUCAGGAAGGUCUGGGAGGGAGUGGGGGAGGCCGGUUCACCCCUCACUUUCUCAGCCCCCGAGGCUGCCUGCCUGUCUUGGUCCACCACGCCACACUUCUUCAAAUUCACGAUGGCAUCUGCUCUCUGCUUCCUCAGUCACAUCUCCUCUGACUCUCCUGCACCCUUUUGCCUUGUGAGAACCUCUGUGGCUACCCUGGGCCCCCUGGGAAAACCCAGGCACUUUCCUCAUCCCAGGGUCCUUACCUCAACAUCUACAAGGUCCCCUCUUUCCACAGGUCACAUGCCCCAGGUUCUCAUAGUUGGUCUUGUGGCAUGUUUUAGUUGGAUUUUUCGCUGCUGUGACUAAAGGACUCAACCAGAACAACUGUAAAGGAGGAAAGGUUUAUUUAGGGCCUCACGGUUCCAGAGGGCUUAGUCCAUGGAAGGCUGGCUCCAUUUGUG
This 720-nucleotide long non-coding RNA is filed under the name Marmota monax (woodchuck). Lineage: Eukaryota; Metazoa; Chordata; Mammalia; Rodentia; Sciuridae. The record is from RNAcentral.